AAUAAGGAUUUCUUUUUUUUUUUUUGCUAAGACUAGCAACUCCUGGUCCAUAAGCAAAGUGACGUAUCGAUUUAAGUUCUCAUUGGGAAAUUGCUUGUUAAAAAAUCUGGACCUUAUAUUCGAUUCUCAUUAACAUUUGAACAUCGAUACCAGACUCAUCUGUUUCUCAUUAGCCUCCACGUAGCAAUCUAUUGAUAAAAAAAGAGAGAAGUCAAUUUAUAUAUAUAUAUAUAUAUAA
Non-coding RNA from Biomphalaria pfeifferi, 238 nucleotides. Lineage: Eukaryota; Metazoa; Mollusca; Gastropoda; Planorbidae. The record is from the annotation of a GenBank genome assembly.